GGGGCUGUGGCUCAAGGGAAAAACCUCUGCUUGGCAUACAGAAGGUUCCGGGUUCAAUCCCCGGCAUCUCUA
Molecule: transfer RNA, 72 nt
Filed under: Sphaerodactylus townsendi
Lineage: Eukaryota; Metazoa; Chordata; Lepidosauria; Squamata; Sphaerodactylidae
Description: tRNA-Ala
Rfam family: tRNA
About the family: Transfer RNA (tRNA) molecules are approximately 80 nucleotides in length.
Source: RNAcentral